RNAcentral lists this long non-coding RNA (291 nucleotides) under Anolis carolinensis (green anole). RNAcentral describes it as "lncRNA (ENSACAG00000035064.1)". The record is from RNAcentral. Lineage: Eukaryota; Metazoa; Chordata; Lepidosauria; Squamata; Anolidae.
UGAGCCACUUGCUGUCAUUUGAGAAAUCUUGAAGAACAGAUUCUCAGUGUCUUUCUCCAAUUUCCUGUUGUGGAACAUCUUCAGGAUUACAUCAGUCCUACUGCCAACAACUUUGAUGAGUGAGAAAGCUUUCGUUUAAGCUUGGGGUUCAUACAUUUGUGGACAGAUUGGCUUUUGGCAGACACUUGAAAAAUGUUCCUGCCAAACUCUCUCGUUGGCAGAUGGCAACAGCUGGGUUAUGACUGACUUUGGAGAAACGCUGAAGAAGCUCUUCUCAAGGGUCCAUUGUAU